Molecule: ribosomal RNA, 253 nt
Filed under: uncultured bacterium
Lineage: Bacteria
Description: partial 16S ribosomal RNA
Rfam family: Bacterial small subunit ribosomal RNA
Source: RNAcentral
UACGUAGGGUGCAAGCGUUAAUCGGAAUUACUGGGCGUAAAGCGUGCGCAGGCGGUUUUGUGAGUCUGUCGUGAAAGCCCCGGGCUCAACCUGGGAAUUGCGAUGGAGACUGCAAGGCUUGAAUCUGGCAGAGGGGGGUAGAAUUCCACGUGUAGCAGUGAAAUGCGUAGAGAUGUGGAGGAACACCGAUGGCGAAGGCAGCCCCCUGGGUCAAGAUUGACGCUCAUGCACGAAAGCGUGGGGAGCAAACAGG